UACAGAGGUGGCAAGCGUUGUUCGGAAUUACUGGGCGUAAAGGGCGCGUAGGCGGUCUUCUAAGUCUUGUGUGAAAUCCCUCGGCUCAACUGAGGAACUGCACGGGAUACUGGAAGACUUGAGUUCGGGAGAGGGAAGCGGAAUUCCGGGUGUAGCGGUGAAAUGCGUAGAUAUCCGGAGGAACACCGGUGGCGAAGGCGGCUUCCUGGGCCAGUACUGACGCUGAGGAGCGAAAGCGUGGGGAGCAAACAGG
Molecule: ribosomal RNA, 253 nt
Filed under: uncultured bacterium
Lineage: Bacteria
Description: partial 16S ribosomal RNA
Rfam family: Bacterial small subunit ribosomal RNA
Source: RNAcentral